Molecule: transfer RNA, 73 nt
Filed under: Candidatus Woesebacteria bacterium RIFCSPHIGHO2_01_FULL_39_17
Lineage: Bacteria; Candidatus Woeseibacteriota
Also listed under: 1 other name
Description: tRNA-Phe
Rfam family: tRNA
About the family: Transfer RNA (tRNA) molecules are approximately 80 nucleotides in length.
Source: RNAcentral
GCUGCGGUAGCCAAGGUGGUCACGGCGGGUCUCUGAAGAAGAUCAGAUUCUGGUUCGAUUCCAGACCGCAGCA